GCAGUAGCCGCGGUAAUACGGAGGGUGCAAGCGUUAUCCGGAUUUAUUGGGUUUAAAGGGUCCGUAGGCGGACUUAUAAGUCAGUGGUGAAAGCCUGUCGCUUAACGAUAGAACUGCCAUUGAUACUGUAAGUCUUGAGUAUAUUUGAGGUAGCUGGAAUAAGUAGUGUAGCGGUGAAAUGCAUAGAUAUUACUUAGAACACCAAUUGCGAAGGCAGGUUACCAAGAUAUAACUGACGCUGAGGGACGAAAGCGUGGGUAGCGAACAGGAUUAGAUACCCCGGUAGUCCCUGUCUCUUAUAC
This 302-nucleotide ribosomal RNA is filed under the name uncultured bacterium. RNAcentral describes it as "partial 16S ribosomal RNA". It matches the Rfam family "Bacterial small subunit ribosomal RNA", at positions 508 to 807 of the family's 1533-position model. The record is from RNAcentral.